UGUGGAGUUUCACAUUCCAAAUCGCGUGAUGCGCCAGUUUGGAAUACUUCAGACAUGUCCUCCCGAGCAUCUCAGUACUAGCCAAGAGCUGCAUGCAAUCGAUCGUCGCAAGCAAAGGGGUAUGAAAAACUGGGAGGAGAAGCAUGUUGCGCAUGUCAAUGCUUGGAAUCUCCGGGCAAACAACAUUGUUUUUGGUGGACCUGUUCACCGUGACUCCCAGUUCAAGAUAUACUUGGAGUGGUUGAAGCAACAAACAAGGCUGAAGCUAAAGGUUGCAAUGGACGCUACCAACAUCGAGGAUUUGCCUUCGGACCUCGAAGAUGUCUUCGACGAGUAUGAUGCUCACACGAGAAUGGGUAGGCAGCCCGAGAGAGGACCCUUUGAAGAUUACAUUGUAAGUUAUAAUUUACAUUACUUGAAUACAACGAAUCAUGCAAUAGAUUGUGACCUAUUGUGUAUAUGACAUAUGCACCUGCAGAGUCAUCAAAUUGGUCGUUUUGCUAAUGAGGCGGGACAAGCGUUUAGCGUGCCAAUAGGCUCUCCGGAUGAGGCCACCGUGCUUAGGACAUUUUUGCAGAGGUUUAGACGGAGAUGCCGGAAAAUGGCCUUCAAACUAAACUGCUUAUCAGCACAAGGACAAGGACCGGCGGAUCAUGAAGAACCUUCCGGAUCGCGCCAACGUGGUGGAAGGAGCAUGAGUUUAACACCAGAUUUGGGCACAUCAUCUACAGAUUCCGUUCCGUAUUUCUAAAAUGAUUUCCAUUUGUGCUACUUCUUGUUUUGUGAGUAGUUAUACAAAUGUUGAAUACAUACUGUUUUGUAGGAGGACGUCGCAUGCAACUAGGGGCUGUCAAUAUGU
This is a long non-coding RNA of Panicum virgatum (switchgrass), 859 nucleotides long. RefSeq lists it as uncharacterized. The record is from RefSeq and is a predicted model, not a curated record. The transcript is spliced from 3 exons. NCBI's taxonomy places the organism in Eukaryota, Viridiplantae, Streptophyta, Magnoliopsida, Poales, Poaceae.